CCGGAUCACUGAUGAAUAACCAAUCACCAUCUUUCGGCUGAUCGCCUGAUGGACGCUUGUUUUUACCUGAGACGUCUU
This is a small nucleolar RNA of Salarias fasciatus (jewelled blenny), 78 nucleotides long. NCBI's taxonomy places the organism in Eukaryota, Metazoa, Chordata, Actinopteri, Blenniiformes, Blenniidae. The record is from Ensembl.